Long non-coding RNA from Xenopus tropicalis (tropical clawed frog), 314 nucleotides. RefSeq lists it as uncharacterized. NCBI's taxonomy places the organism in Eukaryota, Metazoa, Chordata, Amphibia, Anura, Pipidae. The record is from RefSeq and is a predicted model, not a curated record. The transcript is spliced from 2 exons.
UAAAGGGGGAACACAGCCCAUCACUAAAUGGUGGAUCAAGGGACAAAUGGCAAUAUUUACUAAUAUAUUUAUUCCAGUUUGGCACAUUGUGGAGAUAAAUAAUGCAUUCGCGGAAAGUCCAACCCCUCUAACCUAAAGGAACGCGUGGAAUGAAAUAGUUUCAUACUGUGUUAAGGAAAAAUUCACAGAAAAUGGAAAACGGAGAAGAACAGCUACAGAGUUAAACUUGACACACUAUCAUCUACUCCUUUUAUACAUACAGUAUAUUGGAAAAUGUGAUUGUUUUUCUUUAAAACAUUAUGUGUUUAAUAUUU